AAAUUGAAGAGUUUGAUCAUGGCUCAGAUUGAACGCUGGCGGCAGGCCUAACACAUGCAAGUCGAACGGUAGCACAGAGAGCUUGCUCUCGGGUGACGAGUGGCGGACGGGUGAGUAAUGUCUGGGAAACUGCCUGAUGGAGGGGGAUAACUACUGGAAACGGUGGCUAAUACCGCAUAACGUCGCAAGACCAAAGAGGGGGACCUUCGGGCCUCUUGCCAUCAGAUGUGCCCAGAUGGGAUUAGCUAGUUGGUGAGGUAACGGCUCACCAAGGCGACGAUCCCUAGCUGGUCUGAGAGGAUGACCAGCCACACUGGAACUGAGACACGGUCCAGACUCCUACGGGAGGCAGCAGUGGGGAAUAUUGCACAAUGGGCGCAAGCCUGAUGCAGCCAUGCCGCGUGUAUGAA
RNAcentral lists this ribosomal RNA (410 nucleotides) under Salmonella enterica. Its description in RNAcentral is "bacterial SSU rRNA". It matches the Rfam family "Bacterial small subunit ribosomal RNA", at positions 1 to 409 of the family's 1533-position model. The record is from RNAcentral. Lineage: Bacteria; Pseudomonadati; Pseudomonadota; Gammaproteobacteria; Enterobacterales; Enterobacteriaceae.